Long non-coding RNA from Oncorhynchus tshawytscha (Chinook salmon), 377 nucleotides. The record is from Ensembl. NCBI's taxonomy places the organism in Eukaryota, Metazoa, Chordata, Actinopteri, Salmoniformes, Salmonidae.
AGUGUCUGAAAUGAUCAUCGACUUGACACUGACGGGAGGAGAUGAGUAAUGGAACUCUACUUCUACUAUAUUAACUGCUUAAAAAAGAACGUUAGCAGAAUGCUAAAAGAUGCAUGAAGCAUGGAUAUGCUCUCAUCAUCCUCUUGGUUGUCCUCUUUCUGAACAAAGUUGAUCAGAUAACAGCUUUAUGAUUGCAGUUCUACAUGAUGCUCUGUUAUCACAUAACGUCCUUCAAACUCUGAGUGCUGCUGAUGAGCUGGUUGCUGAUGGGCUGGUCCUGGGGCUGGCUGAGAGUCAGACUCCGAAUUGACAGAGACAAGAUCCUCAUAUUCAGAAAAUUCUUCAUCUUCCAAAGUGGAAGACGUUCUUUCCACACU